Molecule: ribosomal RNA, 115 nt
Filed under: Diaphorina citri (Asian citrus psyllid)
Lineage: Eukaryota; Metazoa; Arthropoda; Insecta; Hemiptera; Psyllidae
Source: RNAcentral
GUCAGAGGCGAUAGCACGGUGCACCAGUUCUCAAAGGGGCACUGAAGUUAAGCAACGUUGCGCGUGGUUAGUAUCCGAACAGGUGACCAUCUGAGUAAUUGCGUACCUACUGCUG